GGUGAUAUGAACCGUUAUAACCGGCGAUUUCCGAAUGGGGAAACCCAGUGUGUUUCGACACACUAUCAUUAACUGAAUCCAUAGGUUAAUGAGGCGAACCGGGGGAACUGAAACAUCUAAGUACCCCGAGGAAAAGAAAUCAACCGAGAUUCCCCCAGUAGCGGCGAGCGAACGGGGAGCAGCCCAGAGCCUGAAUCAGUGUGUGUGUUAGUGGAAGCGUCUGGAAAGGCGCGCGAUACAGGGUGAGAGCCCCGUACACAAAAAUGCACAUACUGUGAGCUCGAUGAGUAGGGCGGGACACGUGGUAUCCUGUCUGAAUAUGGGGGGACCAUCCUCCAAGGCUAAAUACUCCUGACUGACCGAUAGUGAACCAGUACCGUGAGGGAAAGGCGAAAAGAACCCCGGCGAGGGGAGUGAAAAAGAACCUGAAACCGUGUACGUACAAGCAGUGGGAGCACGCUUAGGCGUGUGACUGCGUACCUUUUGUAUAAUGGGUCAGCGACUUAUAUUCUGUAGCAAGGUUAACCGAAUAGGGGAGCCGAAGGGAAACCGAGUCUUAACUGGGCGUUAAGUUGCAGGGUAUAGACCCGAAACCCGGUGAUCUAGCCAUGGGCAGGUUGAAGGUUGGGUAACACUAACUGGAGGACCGAACCGACUAAUGUUGAAAAAUUAGCGGAUGACUUGUGGCUGGGGGUGAAAGGCCAAUCAAACCGGGAGAUAGCUGGUUCUCCCCGAAAGCU
Molecule: ribosomal RNA, 740 nt
Filed under: Escherichia coli
Lineage: Bacteria; Pseudomonadati; Pseudomonadota; Gammaproteobacteria; Enterobacterales; Enterobacteriaceae
Description: partial 23S ribosomal RNA
Rfam family: Bacterial large subunit ribosomal RNA
Source: RNAcentral